Molecule: transfer RNA, 73 nt
Filed under: Dehalococcoidia bacterium
Lineage: Bacteria; Bacillati; Chloroflexota; Dehalococcoidia
Description: tRNA-Lys
Source: RNAcentral
GGGAUGACGAGGCGGGACAUCAGGUUUCUGACUCUUAAUCAGCCGGUUGGAGGUUCGAGUCCUCCGCGGCUCA